Molecule: ribosomal RNA, 254 nt
Filed under: uncultured bacterium
Lineage: Bacteria
Description: partial 16S ribosomal RNA
Rfam family: Bacterial small subunit ribosomal RNA
Source: RNAcentral
GUCCUGGCUGUAACGGUGCACGUUGCUGUAAAGGAAUCGACCCUUUGUGGCGAAGCUAACGCGAUAACGUGCCGCCUGGGAAGUACGGUCGCAAGAUUAAACUCAAGAAUUGACGGGCCUGCACAAGCGGUGGAGUAUGUGGCUUAAUUCGAUGCAACGCGAAGAACCUUACCUGGCCUUGACAUGCAAGUGGUAGAACCAUGAAAGUGGGACGACCCGCAAGGGAGCUUGCACAGGUGCUGCAUGGCUGUCGU